AACCUGGUUGAUCCUGCCAGUAGUCAUAUGCUUGUCUCAAAGACUAAGCCAUGCAUGUCUAAGUAUAAGUAUUAUACAGCGAAACUGCGAAUGGCUCAUUAAAACGGUUAUAAUUUAUUUGAUAAUCGAAUUUACAUGGAUAACCGUGGUAAUUCUAGAGCUAAUACAUGCUGGUAGGCCCGACUUUUUGGAAGGGCGGUAUUUAUUAGAUAACAAACCAAUAUUCCUCUGGUCUAUUGUGGUGAAUCAUAAUAACCGAUCGAAUCGCAAGGUUUUUAACCGCGAUAAGUCAUUCAAGUCUCUGCCCCAUCAGCUUUCGAUGGUAGUGUAUUGGACUACCAUGGCUUUUACGGGUAAC
Molecule: ribosomal RNA, 358 nt
Filed under: uncultured marine eukaryote
Lineage: Eukaryota
Description: SSU rRNA
Rfam family: Eukaryotic small subunit ribosomal RNA
Source: RNAcentral